AGUUGUUUCUGUGUCUGAAUGAGUUACUUUUUCAGUUUAUUUGCCUCCUCUUUGUGAUUUUAAAAUAUUUAAAUCGUUUUCUAAAAUCUGGGAUAGAUGGGCAGCAGAAGAUCAUGUGCUUCGUGAUACCGAUGAAAAUCGUAGAUUACAGCGUAAAUUGGCAAGAAAAGCUGUAGCUCGCCUGAGGAGCACAGGAAGAAAGAAGAAGCGCUGCAGGUUGCCUGGUGUGGACUCUGUCUUAAAAGGCCUCCCCACUGAAGAAAAAGAUGAAAAUGAUGAAAACUCAUUAAGCAGUUCCUCUGACUGUAGUGAAAACAAGGAUGAAGAAAUAAGUGAAGAAAGUGAUAUUGAAGAAAAGACUGAAGUGAAAGAAGAACCAGAGCUUCAAACAAGAAGGGAAAUGGAAGAAAGAACAAUAACUAUAGAAAUCCCUGAGGUUCUGAAGAAGCAGCUGGAGGAUGAUUGUUACUACAUUAACAGGAGGAAACGGUUAGUGAAACUUCCAUGCCAGACCAACAUCAUAACGAUUUUGGAAUCCUAUGUGAAGCAUUUUGCUAUCAAUGCAGCCUUUUCAGCCAAUGAGAGGCCUCGUCACCAUCACGUUAUGCCACAUGCCAACAUGAACGUGCAUUAUAUCCCAGCAGAAAAGAAUGUUGACCUUUGUAAGGAGAUGGUGGAUGGAUUAAGAAUAACCUUUGAUUACACUCUCCCGUUGGUUUUACUCUAUCCAUAUGAACAAGCUCAGUAUAAAAAGGUGACUUCGUCUAAAUUUUUUCUUCCAAUUAAGGAAAGUGCCACAAGCACUAACAGGUAAGUUAUAUAGCCUGCACUUUCACCCUCACAUGUCAGCAGUACAAUGAUCAGAUCCUUGUUUUGAAGAGUUCAAUCUGAUGGUGUGGGCCAACAUGUUUGGAGGAGGGAAGGAAAUGAAAAGUGUGUGUCCUGGUGGUUUUCUUUUUUCCUGGGUAAGCUAAGUCAUCAUUCACUUUCAUAUGGCUCUGGCAGAUUUUACCAAGUGAAGACCCCAGCAUAGAGAACUUAGGUGGGAUGAUGAGCAGCUCUCCCAUUUUGGGGAAGACGGUAGUGGGUGGGGUGAAGAGAGCACAGGCCGGGGAGGGUGGAA
Molecule: small RNA, 1123 nt
Filed under: Pan troglodytes (chimpanzee)
Lineage: Eukaryota; Metazoa; Chordata; Mammalia; Primates; Hominidae
Description: retained intron
Source: RNAcentral